RNAcentral lists this ribosomal RNA (226 nucleotides) under uncultured bacterium. RNAcentral's name for it is "partial 16S ribosomal RNA". It matches the Rfam family "Bacterial small subunit ribosomal RNA", at positions 538 to 764 of the family's 1533-position model. The record is from RNAcentral.
GCGUUGUCCGGAUUUAUUGGGCGUAAAGCGAGCGCAGGCGGUUUGAUAAGUCUGAAGUUAAAGGCUGUGGCUCAACCAUAGUUCGCUUUGGAAACUGUCAAACUUGAGUGCAGAAGGGGAGAGUGGAAUUCCAUGUGUAGCGGUGAAAUGCGUAGAUAUAUGGAGGAACACCGGUGGCGAAAGCGGCUCUCUGGUCUGUAACUGACGCUGAGGCUCGAAAGCGUGG